AUUGAACGCUGGCGGCAGGCCUUACACAUGCAAGUCGAACGGCAGCACGGGAGCAAUCCUGGUGGCGAGUGGCGAACGGGUGAGUAAUAUAUCGGAACGUGCCCAGUCGUGGGGGAUAACGUAGCGAAAGCUACGCUAAUACCGCAUACGAUCUACGGAUGAAAGCGGGGGAUCGCAAGACCUCGCGCGAUUGGAGCGGCCGAUAUCAGAUUAGGUAGUUGGUGAGGUAAAGGCUCACCAAGCCGACGAUCUGUAGCUGGUCUGAGAGGACGACCAGCCACACUGGGACUGAGACACGGCCCAGACUCCUACGGGAGGCAGCAGUGGGGAAUUUUGGACAAUGGGCGCAAGCCUGAUCCAGCAAUGCCGCGUGCAGGAUGAAGG
RNAcentral lists this ribosomal RNA (384 nucleotides) under uncultured bacterium. RNAcentral describes it as "bacterial SSU rRNA". It matches the Rfam family "Bacterial small subunit ribosomal RNA", at positions 29 to 414 of the family's 1533-position model. The record is from RNAcentral.